This 253-nucleotide ribosomal RNA is filed under the name uncultured bacterium. RNAcentral's name for it is "partial 16S ribosomal RNA". It matches the Rfam family "Bacterial small subunit ribosomal RNA", at positions 524 to 776 of the family's 1533-position model. The record is from RNAcentral.
GACAGAGGGUGCAAACGUUGUUCGGAAUUACUGGGCGUAAAGAGCUCGUAGGCGGCUUGUCGCGUCGACUGUGAAAACCCGCGGCUCAACUGCGGGCCUGCAGCCGAUACGGGCAGGCUAGAGUUCGGUAGGGGAGACUGGAAUUCCUGGUGUAGCGGUGAAAUGCGCAGAUAUCAGGAGGAACACCGGUGGCGAAGGCGGCGUUCUGGACUGUUACUGACACUGAGGAACGAAAGCCAGGGGAGCAAACGGG